This 253-nucleotide ribosomal RNA is filed under the name uncultured bacterium. Its description in RNAcentral is "partial 16S ribosomal RNA". It matches the Rfam family "Bacterial small subunit ribosomal RNA", at positions 524 to 776 of the family's 1533-position model. The record is from RNAcentral.
UACAGAGGUCCCGAGCGUUGUUCGGAUUCAUUGGGCGUAAAGAGCGCGUAGGCGGUCUUUUAAGUCGGUGGUGAAAUCCCGGGGCUUAACCCCGGAAUUGCCCUCGAUACUGGAAGACUUGAGUGCGGGAGAGGAUAGUGGAAUUCCCAGUGUAGAGGUGAAAUUCGUAGAUAUUGGGAAGAACACCAGUGGCGAAGGCAGCUAUCUGGACCGCAACUGACGCUGAGGCGCGAAAGCGUGGGGAGCAAACAGG